This 675-nucleotide ribosomal RNA is filed under the name uncultured bacterium. RNAcentral describes it as "bacterial SSU rRNA". It matches the Rfam family "Bacterial small subunit ribosomal RNA", at positions 139 to 813 of the family's 1533-position model. The record is from RNAcentral.
GGGGAUAGCCUUUCGAAAGAAAGAUUAAUAUCCGAUAGCAUAUCAAGAUCGCACGAUCUUGAUAUUAAAGAAUUUCGGUUAUCGAUGGGGAUGCGUUCCAUUAGUUAGUUGGCGGGGUAACGGCCCACCAAGACGACGAUGGAUAGGGGUUCUGAGAGGAAGGUCCCCCACAUUGGAACUGAGACACGGUCCAAACUCCUACGGGAGGCAGCAGUGAGGAAUAUUGGUCAAUGGACGAGAGUCUGAACCAGCCAAGUAGCGUGAAGGAUGACUGCCCUAUGGGUUGUAAACUUCUUUUAUAUGGGAAUAAAACAGGGUAUGCAUACCCUCUUGUAUGUACCAUAUGAAUAAGGAUCGGCUAACUCCGUGCCAGCAGCCGCGGUAAUACGGAGGAUCCGAGCGUUAUCCGGAUUUAUUGGGUUUAAAGGGAGCGUAGGUGGAUUGUUAAGUCAGUUGUGAAAGUUUGCGGCUCAACCGUAAAAUUGCAGUUGAAACUGGCAGUCUUGAGUACAGUAGAGGUGGGCGGAAUUCGUGGUGUAGCGGUGAAAUGCUUAGAUAUCACGAAGAACUCCGAUUGCGAAGGCAGCUCACUGGACUGCAACUGACACUGAUGCUCGAAAGUGUGGGUAUCAAACAGGAUUAGAUACCCUGGUAGUCCACACAGUAAACGAAGAA